RNAcentral lists this transfer RNA (86 nucleotides) under Megalops atlanticus (tarpon). It matches the Rfam family "tRNA". Rfam says of the family: Transfer RNA (tRNA) molecules are approximately 80 nucleotides in length. The record is from Rfam by way of RNAcentral. Lineage: Eukaryota; Metazoa; Chordata; Actinopteri; Elopiformes; Megalopidae.
CCUUCGAUAGCUCAGUUGGUAGAGCGGAGGACUGUAGAAGCUACGGAGAAAUCCUUAGGUCGCUGGUUCGAAUCCGGCUCGAAGGA